This is a long non-coding RNA of Melanotaenia boesemani (Boeseman's rainbowfish), 259 nucleotides long. RefSeq lists it as uncharacterized. The record is from RefSeq and is a predicted model, not a curated record. The transcript has 2 exons. NCBI's taxonomy places the organism in Eukaryota, Metazoa, Chordata, Actinopteri, Atheriniformes, Melanotaeniidae.
CUCCUCUCCUUCCUAAUUUGUGUUUGGCGUCUCACUCUGAUUACAUUUAUAUGAAGCCAGCUUAACAUUUGAUUACAAUUUUUAUGUAAUCUUCAUAACAUCAUGAUGUGUCUGCAGCAGCUAACCAGAGGAAACCAGCACAGACUAAGCAUCUCGUUUCCAUUUCAACAUUGUGCCAUUUUGUUUAAUUUAUCAGAUUAUAAGGUUAUUUGUGAAAAGUUUUUAAGUUGUGAUUUCAUUAGAAAACUACUUCCUGUUU